Molecule: microRNA precursor, 103 nt
Filed under: Marmota monax (woodchuck)
Lineage: Eukaryota; Metazoa; Chordata; Mammalia; Rodentia; Sciuridae
Source: RNAcentral
AGUGAGAUAACUGGGUCAAUUUGUGUUUGCAUUCCAGGUUUUCUGAGGAAUUUCCAUACUACUUUUCAGACUGGUUGUACCAAUUUACAGUCCUACCAGCAAU